GCGUUCAAUUCAGCAGCACACAUACUAACACUGGAACAAUUCAGAGAAGAUCAGCAUGGCCCCUGCGCAAGGAUGACAUGCAAAUUCGUGAAGCGUUCGUAUUUUUA
This 107-nucleotide small nuclear RNA is filed under the name Rhinopithecus bieti (black snub-nosed monkey). Lineage: Eukaryota; Metazoa; Chordata; Mammalia; Primates; Cercopithecidae. The record is from RNAcentral.